Molecule: ribosomal RNA, 888 nt
Filed under: uncultured bacterium
Lineage: Bacteria
Description: bacterial SSU rRNA
Rfam family: Bacterial small subunit ribosomal RNA
Source: RNAcentral
AGCUUAACUCUGGAACUGCCAUCAAAACUUUUUAGCUAGAGUAUGAUAGAGGAAAGCAGAAUUUCUAGUGUAGAGGUGAAAUUCGUAGAUAUUAGAAAGAAUACCAAUUGCGAAGGCAGCUUUCUGGAUCAUUACUGACGCUGAGGAACGAAAGCAUGGGUAGCGAAGAGGAUUAGAUACCCUCGUAGUCCAUGCCGUAAACGAUGUGUGUUAGACGUUGGAAAUUUUAUUUUCAGUGUCGCAGCGAAAGCAUUAAACACACCGCCUGGGGAGUACGACCGCAAGGUUAAAACUCAAAUGAAUUGACGGGGACCCGCACAAGUAGUGGAGCAUGUGGUUUAAUUCGAAGAUACGCGCAGAACCUUACCAACACUUGACAUGUUCGUCGCGACUCUGAGAGAUUAGAGUUUUCGGUUCGGCCGGACGAAACACAGGUGCUGCAUGGCUGUCGUCAGCUCGUGUCGUGAGAUGUUGGGUUAAGUCCCGCAACGAACGCAACCCUCACUUUUAGUUGCCAUCAUUUGGUUGGGCACUCUGAAAGAACUGCCAGUGAUAAGCUGGAGGAAGGUGGGGAUGACGUCAAGUCCUCAUGGCCCUUACGUGUUGGGCUACACACGUGCUACAAUGGCAUUUACAAUAGGAAGCAAGGUGGCGACAUCAAGCAAAUCCUAAAAAGAUGCCUCAGUUCGGGUUGUACUCUGCAACUCGAGUACAUGAAGCUGGAAUUACUAGUAAUCGCGGAUCAGCGCGCCGCGGUGAAUACGUUCCCGGGUCUUGUACACACCGCCCGUCACACCAUGGGAGUUGGUUCUACCUUAAGGCAAGGUUUUAAACCCUUGACUACGGUAUAGUCAGCGACUGGGGUGAAGUCGUAACAAGGUAACCGUA